Molecule: non-coding RNA, 21 nt
Filed under: Caenorhabditis elegans
Lineage: Eukaryota; Metazoa; Nematoda; Chromadorea; Rhabditida; Rhabditidae
Source: RNAcentral
UAAUCUAUUCUAAUGUUACUC